CAAUAGCGUAUAUUAAAGUUGUUGCAGUUAAAAAGCUCGUAGUUGGAUUUCUGGUUGAAGCGACCGGUCGGGCGUUGAUUCGUCUGCACUGGAGUCGGUUUUGGCCAUCCUCUAGGAAAGUGCGUCUGGUAUUAAGUUAUCGGGCGUAUGAUCCUGGUCUUUUACUGUGAAAAAAUUAGAGUGUUUAAAGCAGGCCUUCGCCUUGAAUACAUUAGCAUGGAAUAAUAAGAUAGGACUUUGGUCUAUUUUGUUGGUUUGCAGACCGAAGUAAUGAUUAAUAGGUAUAGUUGGGGGUAUUUAUAUUCCGAUGUCAGAGGUGAAAUUCUUAGAUUUUCGGAAGAUAAACUUAUGCGAAAGCAUUUACCAAGGAUGUUUNCAUUA
This 381-nucleotide ribosomal RNA is filed under the name uncultured eukaryote. RNAcentral's name for it is "partial 18S ribosomal RNA". It matches the Rfam family "Eukaryotic small subunit ribosomal RNA", at positions 592 to 975 of the family's 1831-position model. The record is from RNAcentral.